GAUGAAGAACGUAGCGAAAUGCGAUAAGUAAUUUGAAUUGCAGAAUUCAGUGAAUCAUCGAAUCUUUGAACGCACCUUGCACCCUUUGGUAUUCCGAAGGGUAUGCUCGUUUGAGUGUCAUUGUACUCUCACACUUCUAAUUCCUUUCGGGAUUGGGAGCGGUGGACUUGGGUGUUGCUGCUUUAGUUGUGGCUCACCUCAAAUAAGUUAUUGCAACUCUUGGUUGGACAUAGUACGGCGUGAUAAGUGUCUUCGCCGGCGCCUCUGUAAGGAGGGUGGCCGAUCGGGAGCUCUGUGCUUCAAACCGUCUUCGGACAAUCUUUGACAACUUGACCUCAAAUCGAGUAGGACUACCCGCUGAACUUAAGCAUAUCAAUAAGCGGAGGA
Molecule: unclassified non-coding RNA, 387 nt
Filed under: soil metagenome
Description: partial contains 5.8S ribosomal RNA, internal transcribed spacer 2, and large subunit ribosomal RNA
Rfam family: 5.8S ribosomal RNA (bases 1-120)
Source: RNAcentral